UAAAUUGUAGCUAGGUUAGUUAGUAUCUCUUUUACACAGAGGGGAGAUUUGUGCAACUCAAAUUAAUUUAA
RNAcentral lists this transfer RNA (71 nucleotides) under Ocnus glacialis. RNAcentral describes it as "tRNA-Val". Lineage: Eukaryota; Metazoa; Echinodermata; Holothuroidea; Dendrochirotida; Cucumariidae. The record is from RNAcentral.